GGUUAUGGCUCAUCGGUAGAGUGCUUGCCUAGCACAUGUGAGGUUCUGGGUUCAAUCCUCAGCACCA
RNAcentral lists this transfer RNA (67 nucleotides) under Marmota monax (woodchuck). RNAcentral describes it as "tRNA.Ala". The record is from RNAcentral. Lineage: Eukaryota; Metazoa; Chordata; Mammalia; Rodentia; Sciuridae.